Molecule: transfer RNA, 74 nt
Filed under: Buchnera aphidicola (Aphis gossypii)
Lineage: Bacteria; Pseudomonadati; Pseudomonadota; Gammaproteobacteria; Enterobacterales; Erwiniaceae
Also listed under: 8 other names
Description: tRNA-Arg
Rfam family: tRNA
About the family: Transfer RNA (tRNA) molecules are approximately 80 nucleotides in length. Their secondary structure includes four short double-helical elements and three loops (D, anti-codon, and T loops). Further hydrogen bonds mediate the characteristic L-shaped molecular structure. tRNAs have two regions of fundamental functional importance: the anti-codon, which is responsible for specific mRNA codon recognition, and the 3' end, to which the tRNAs corresponding amino acid is attached (by aminoacyl-tRNA synthetases). tRNAs cope with the degeneracy of the genetic code in two manners: having more than one tRNA (with a specific anti-codon) for a particular amino acid; and 'wobble' base-pairing, i.e. permitting non-standard base-pairing at the 3rd anti-codon position.
Source: RNAcentral
GCGUUCUUAGCUCAGAUGGAUAGAGCAACGGCCUUCUAAGCCGUAGGUCACAGGUUCGAAUCCUGUAGAACGCA